UAAAAUAUAUUUAAAAUGAUGAAAAUUUAUAUAUAAAGCAUCUUCAGCCUUCUCUCUAUUUAUCAGCUAUUAAUAAUGGGAUUUUAUAUAUGAAAAGUAAUUUCCCCAAAAAUGGAUGCAAGCAUUAAAUCUGAAGGAGCAUUGCCAAGAGGAAAUAUGACUUUUAGAUUUUGUGAUGUGAUUUUGAUCAGCUCAAGAGGAUUUUGCUUAAGAUGAGUAAACAACCGAAGGGACUUGAGCAGAUGCACUUGAAUUUGUUAAAUUGAGUUUUACUGGCUGUAAGAAAUCUCACCCUCCGUGUGAAUGAAGCGACUGUCUGUGUGAAUGCUGAGAUGAAUUCAUAUGCUUCCCGUACAUUUGUUUCAUACAGACUGAACAAUUGUGGCCCCUUUAUUCUAUUCAUUAAGGUUCAGUGUAUGUUUGCCAGCCUACAUCUGCAAGGGAGUUGCAGAAAAGCCUCAUGUUCAUCGAGCCGAGAUGAGUCGAGACAGCGGGUUAAAUUCACAGACGAGCGUGUCUGCAAAUCGCACCUGCUCAACUGCUGCCCGCAUGACAUCCUCUCUGGAACGCGCAUGGACCUUGGCGAAUGCUCUAAGAUACAUGACCUGGCGCUGAGAGCAGACUAUGAGAUCGCGUCUAAAGAGAGAGACCUGUUCUUCGAACUGGAUGCGGUGGAUCACCUGGAGUCGUUUAUUGCCGACUGUGACCGCAGGACUGAGUUGGCCAAAAAGCGUCUCGCUGAGACACAGGAAGAGAUCAGCGCUGAGGUGGCCGCAAAGGCAGAAAAGGUUCACGAGUUGAACGAGGAGAUCGGGAAGCUGCUGGCGAAAGCUGAACAGCUCGGCGCUGAGGGGAAUGUGGAUGAAGCCCAGACAGUUCUACAGGAGGUUGAGAGAGUCCGAACUAAGAAGAAGGAUGCAGAGGAAGAGUACAGGAACUCUAUGCCCGCCUCCAGUUUCCAGCAGCAGAAGUUGCGCGUCUGUGAGGUUUGCUCUGCCUAUCUUGGUCUCCAUGACAAUGACCGGCGUCUCGCUGACCACUUUGGCGGCAAACUGCACCUGGGCUUCAUUCAGAUCAGAGAGAAGCUGGAACAGCUGAAGAAAACCGUGCAGGACAAACAGGAGAGACGGAACCAGGAGCGACUGAGGAGGAGGGAAGAGCGGGAGAAAGAGGAGAAAAUGAAAAAACAUUUUUGAAGUUCAAGGAAACCCACUGUUAAAAAGACUAAUGACUAAGUCACGCAGCCGAGAACGCAAGAGGUCUCGUUCUCGUGAACGUGAUCGAGAGCGCAGACGCCGACGUUCCCGCUCC
This is an RNA transcript of Sinocyclocheilus rhinocerous, 1311 nucleotides long. It is a transcript of the gene named putative RNA-binding protein Luc7-like 1, with no coding region annotated. The record is from RefSeq and is a predicted model, not a curated record. NCBI's taxonomy places the organism in Eukaryota, Metazoa, Chordata, Actinopteri, Cypriniformes, Cyprinidae. The transcript has 10 exons.